Molecule: transfer RNA, 92 nt
Filed under: Planctomycetota bacterium
Lineage: Bacteria; Pseudomonadati; Planctomycetota
Description: tRNA-Sec
Rfam family: Selenocysteine transfer RNA
Source: RNAcentral
GGGGGAGGAUAGGGCCCGGUGGCCCUGACGGUCUUCAAAGCCGCUCUGGGGUAGCAAUGCUCCAGGUGGGUUCGACUCCCACCCUUUCCCGC